GAUGAAGAACGUAGCGAAAUGCGAUAAGUAAUGUGAAUUGCAGAAUUCAGUGAAUCAUCGAAUCUUUGAACGCACCUUGCGCCCUUUGGCCAUUCCGAAGGGCAUGCCUGUUUGAGUAUCAUGAACACCUCAACUCUUCAUGGUUUUCCGUGAUGAGCUUGGACUUUGGGGGUCUUGCUGGCCUAUGGUCAGCUCCUCUAAAAUAAAUCAGCUUGCCAGUGUUUGGUGGGUAUCACAGGUGUGAUAACUAUCUACGCUUGUGGUUUUCCACCAGGUAACCUUCAGCAGUGGAGGUUCGCUGGAGCUCACAGAUGUGUCUCUCCUCAGUGAGGACAGCUCUUUGAAUGUUUGAUCUCAAAUCAGGUAGGACUACCCGCUGAACUUAAGCAUAUCAAUAGGCGGAGGA
This 406-nucleotide unclassified non-coding RNA is filed under the name soil metagenome. Its description in RNAcentral is "partial contains 5.8S ribosomal RNA, internal transcribed spacer 2, and large subunit ribosomal RNA". The stretch from base 1 to 121 matches the Rfam family "5.8S ribosomal RNA", at positions 35 to 154 of the family's 154-position model. The record is from RNAcentral.